GGGCCCGCACAAGCGGUGGAGUAUGUGGUUUAAUUCGAUGCAACGCGAAGAACCUUACCAGGGUUUGACAUCCUGCGAAUCUCUUGGAAACGAGAGAGUGCCUUCGGGAACGCAGUGACAGGUGGUGCAUGGCUGUCGUCAGCUCGUGUCGUGAGAUGUUGGGUUAAGUCCCGCAACGAGCGCAACCCACGUCGUUAGUUGCCAGCAUUUAGUUGGGCACUCUAGCGAGACCGCCGGUGAUAAACCGGAGGAAGGUGUGGAUGACGUCAAGUCAUCAUGCCCCUUACAUCCUGGGCUACACACGUACUACAAUGCUACGGACAAAGGGCAGCAAACUCGCGAGAGCUAGCAAAUCCCAUAAACCGUGGCUCAGUUCGGAUCGCAGUCUGCAACUCGACUGCGUGAAGCUGGAAUCGCUAG
Molecule: ribosomal RNA, 420 nt
Filed under: uncultured bacterium
Lineage: Bacteria
Description: bacterial SSU rRNA
Rfam family: Bacterial small subunit ribosomal RNA
Source: RNAcentral